CCUACGGGAGGCAGCAGUGAGGAAUAUUGGUCAAUGGGCGAGAGCCUGAACCAGCCAAGUCGCGUGAAGGAUGACGGCCCUACGGGUUGUAAACUUCUUUUGUCAGGGAGCAAUUUAGUCCACGUGUGGGCUUAGCGGGAUUACCGUAAGAAAAAGCAUGGGCUAACUCCGUCCCAGCAGCCGCGGUAAUACGGAGGAUGCGAGAGUUAUCCGGAUUUAUGGGGUUGAAAGGGUGCGGAGGCGGAAUAUAAAGUCAGCGGUAAAAAUUCGGGGCUCAACCCCGUCGUGCCGUUGAAACUGAUGUUCUUGAGUGGGCGAGAAGUAUGCGGAAUGCGUGGUGUAGCGGUGAAAUGCAUAGAUAUCACGCAGAACUCCGAUUGCGAAGGCAGCAUACCGGCGCCCAACUGACGCUGAAGCACGAAAGCGUGGGUAUCGAACAGGAUUAGAUACCCCUGUAGUC
RNAcentral lists this ribosomal RNA (460 nucleotides) under uncultured bacterium. Its description in RNAcentral is "partial 16S ribosomal RNA". It matches the Rfam family "Bacterial small subunit ribosomal RNA", at positions 338 to 795 of the family's 1533-position model. The record is from RNAcentral.